This 295-nucleotide long non-coding RNA is filed under the name Fukomys damarensis (Damara mole-rat). RNAcentral describes it as "lncRNA (ENSFDAG00000030676.1)". The record is from RNAcentral. Lineage: Eukaryota; Metazoa; Chordata; Mammalia; Rodentia; Bathyergidae.
CUCGGGGUGACUAAUGCUGCCGCGCACCUCCCACCAGGCUGGCUUGUUCAGCCUGGAGGACUUUGCCACGUCUGUGCAGCGAGGGCGGGCAAAGGCAAGUGGCUAACUGGUGCCCUCCUCCCAGGAUCUCAUGAUCUCUUUCCUAAAGGAGGGUGCCGGCUGGACAUUGCUCUUCUGGGUCCUUUUCUGCCCUGCCCCUGCCCAGCCUGGCUCUACAGGAUGGACCACUGCCUUCUCUAGGCAAAGGCUAAGCACUUGCUCACCUGCCUUGCCUUUCCAUCUGCUGAAGGGAUGA